This 77-nucleotide transfer RNA is filed under the name Alphaproteobacteria bacterium. RNAcentral describes it as "tRNA-Pro". It matches the Rfam family "tRNA". From Rfam's summary of the family: Transfer RNA (tRNA) molecules are approximately 80 nucleotides in length. Lineage: Bacteria; Pseudomonadati; Pseudomonadota; Alphaproteobacteria. The record is from RNAcentral.
CGUAGUGUAGCGCAGCCUGGUAGCGCACCUCGUUCGGGACGAGGGGGUCGCAGGUUCAAAUCCUGCCACUCCGACCA